CCCUUAGACGUUCUGGGCCGCACGCGCGCUACACUGACCAGUGCAACAAGCAUCCGUCCUUGGCCGACUGGCCCGGGCAAUCUUUGAACGCUGGUCGUGAUGGGGAUAGACUUUUGCAAUUUUUGGUCUUCAACGAGGAAUUCCUAGUAAACGCAAGUCAUCAACUUGCAUUGAUUACGUCCCUGCCCUUUGUACACACCGCCCGUCGCACCUACCGAUUGAAUGGUCCGGUGAAGCCUCCGGAUUGGCGCGCACCUCGGUGCCGCCGAGAAGUUGGCUAAACCUUACCAUUUAGAGGAAGGUGAAGUCGUAACA
This 315-nucleotide ribosomal RNA is filed under the name uncultured eukaryote. RNAcentral's name for it is "partial 18S ribosomal RNA". It matches the Rfam family "Eukaryotic small subunit ribosomal RNA", at positions 1470 to 1796 of the family's 1831-position model. The record is from RNAcentral.